AACGAACGCUGGCGGCGCGCCUAAUACAUGCAAGUCGAGCGAGAAGACGUAGCAAUACGUUUGUAAAGCGGCGAACGGGUGAGGAACACAUGGGUAACCUACCCUAGAGUGGGGAAUAACUAGCCGAAAGGUUAGCUAAUACCGCGUACGCUCCUUGGACUUCGGUACAGGGAGGAAAGCGAUACCGUGGGUAUCGCGCUCUUGGAUGGGCUCAUGUCCUAUCAGCUUGUUGGUGAGGUAACGGCUCACCAAGGCUUCGACGGGUAGCUGGUCUGAGAGGACGAUCAGCCACACUGGCACUGCGACACGGGCCAGACUCCUACGGGAGGCAGCAGUAAGGAAUAUUGCGCAAUGGGCGAAAGCCUGACGCAGCGACGCCGCGUGGGGGAUGAAGGU
RNAcentral lists this ribosomal RNA (396 nucleotides) under uncultured bacterium. RNAcentral's name for it is "bacterial SSU rRNA". It matches the Rfam family "Bacterial small subunit ribosomal RNA", at positions 29 to 415 of the family's 1533-position model. The record is from RNAcentral.